Molecule: ribosomal RNA, 662 nt
Filed under: uncultured organism
Description: bacterial SSU rRNA
Rfam family: Bacterial small subunit ribosomal RNA
Source: RNAcentral
GGCUUAGAGUUUGAUCAUGGCUCAGGAUGAACGCUGGCGGCGUGCCUAACACAUGCAAGUCGAACGAAGCACUUAUCUUUGAUUCUUUCGGGAUGAAGAGAUAUUUGACUGAGUGGCGGACGGGUGAGUAACGCGUGGGUAACCUGCCUCAUACAGGGGGAUAGCAGUUAGAAAUGACUGCUAAUACCGCAUAAGCGCACGGAAUCGCAUGAUUCAGUGUGAAAAGCCGAGACGGUAUGAGAUGGACCCGCGUCUGAUUAGGUAGUUGGUGAGGUAACGGCCCACCAAGCCGACGAUCAGUAGCCGACCUGAGAGGGUGACCGGCCACAUUGGGACUGAGACACGGCCCAAACUCCUACGGGAGGCAGCAGUGGGGAAUAUUGCACAAUGGGGGAAACCCUGAUGCAGCGACGCCGCGUGAAGGAAGAAGUAUUUCGGUAUGUAAACUUCUAUCAGCAGGGAAGAAAAUGACGGUACCUGACUAAGAAGCCCCGGCUAACUACGUGCCAGCAGCCGCGGUAAUACGUAGGGGGCAAGCGUUAUCCGGAUUUACUGGGUGUAAAGGGAGCGUAGGCGGUCUGACAAGUCAGAAGUGAAAGCCCGGGGCUCAACCUCGGGACUGCUUUUGAAACUGCCGGACUAGAUUGCAGGAGAGGUAAGUG